CCUACGGGAGGCUGCAGUGGGGAAUAUUGCACAAUGGGGGAAACCCUGAUGCAGCGACGCCGCGUGAGUGAAGAAGUAUUUCGGUAUGUAAAGCUCUAUCAGCAGGGAAGAAAAUGACGGUACCUGAUUAAGAAGCCCCGGCUAACUACGUGCCAGCAGCCGCGGUAAUACGUAGGGGGCAAGCGUUAUCCGGAUUUACUGGGUGUAAAGGGAGCGUAGACGGUUACGCAAGUCUGGAGUGAAAGGCGGGGGCCCAACCCCCGGACUGCUUUGGAAACUGUAUAACUGGAGUGUAGGAGAGGUAAGUGGAAUUCCUAGUGUAGCGGUGAAAUGCGUAGAUAUUAGGAGGAACACCAGUGGCGAAGGCGGCUUACUGGACUGUAACUGACGUUGAGGCUCGAAAGCGUGGGGAGCAAACAGGAUUAGAUACCCGGGUAGUC
RNAcentral lists this ribosomal RNA (440 nucleotides) under uncultured bacterium. RNAcentral describes it as "partial 16S ribosomal RNA". It matches the Rfam family "Bacterial small subunit ribosomal RNA", at positions 338 to 795 of the family's 1533-position model. The record is from RNAcentral.